UCCGAGUUGUCCCCGGCAGUCUCCUUAGAGUCCCCGGCAUUACCCGCUGGCAACUAAGGACAGGGGUUGCGCUCGUUGCGGCACUUAAGUCAACACCUCACGGCACGAGCUGACGACAGCCAUGCAGCACCUGUGUCCAGGUUCCCUUUCGGGCACCCCUGCAUCUCUGCAGGGUUCCUGGCAUGUCAAGGGUAGGUAAGGUUUUUCGCGUUGCAUCGAAUUAAACCACAUCAUCCACCGCUUGUGCGGGCCCCCGUCAAUUUCUUUGAGUUUUAGCCUUGCGGCCGUACUUCCCAGGCGGAGUGCUUAAGGCGUUAGCUACGGCACGGAGGGGGUCGAUACCCCCCACACCAAGCACUCACAGUUUAGGGCGUGGACUAC
RNAcentral lists this unclassified non-coding RNA (381 nucleotides) under uncultured bacterium. RNAcentral's name for it is "contains 16S-23S intergenic spacer region". The record is from RNAcentral.